RNAcentral lists this non-coding RNA (24 nucleotides) under Arabidopsis thaliana (thale cress). Lineage: Eukaryota; Viridiplantae; Streptophyta; Magnoliopsida; Brassicales; Brassicaceae. The record is from RNAcentral.
UGAAUGGAUCAGUUGGAUGGAUCU